GCACCCAGCCGCCCGCGCCGGCGCUGCGGGGCUCGCUGCGGGAGCGCCGGGCCGAGCGGAGAAGAUAAAAUAAUGGAAUUCUUAAUCUGCAUUCCUCACCUGAGGACACUUCCUAACAAGUCCUGUGCUUUUUCUCCUGUGUGCUUUUUUAAUUACCCUGAUAUUUAGUUCUGUUCUAGCAGCAGAGCUGCAGAAGUUUUCAGCUUGUAGGUGUGAUUUCUAACUGACAUGAUGUUGUAAUAAAGUUAUAGGAAUAUCAGCUCCUACUUAACCUGCAUACUAUAAUGUUUAAUGUCUUGUCCAUUAAAAUAAAAUUAUUGAA
Agelaius phoeniceus (red-winged blackbird) is the source of this 322-nucleotide non-coding RNA. The record is from RefSeq and is a predicted model, not a curated record. NCBI's taxonomy places the organism in Eukaryota, Metazoa, Chordata, Aves, Passeriformes, Icteridae.